Molecule: ribosomal RNA, 373 nt
Filed under: Aleiodes sp. HD-286
Lineage: Eukaryota; Metazoa; Arthropoda; Insecta; Hymenoptera; Braconidae
Also listed under: 2 other names
Description: eukaryotic LSU rRNA
Source: RNAcentral
CGAAUGGGGAGAUUCAUCGUCAGCUCAUUUUGUAUAUGUAUAAGUUAUGAUGCGGGUUACUACUUGUAGUAUUGCCUGCACAUUCUUGUAUAUUUAGUUGCAAGAUGUUGUCGGCGUGCACUUCUCCCCUAGUAGGACGUCGCGACCUGUUGGGUGUCGGUCUACGGCCCAAGUGAUAGCCUUUAAUGUAAUUUAAAAAACAUUGAAGAUCCUUGGUGUUUUCUGACCGGCUACUUGGCAGUAUUCGUACGGUAUUUAGCCGCUAAAUUUAUUAAGCGUCCAUAUCCAUCACAAGCGAGGCUAAUUUACUGAUAGUACGGACCUAGUGCCGUCGUUGGUAUUGGCCAGCUGUUGGUUGAUGGUAUUCUAGGAC